CCCUUAGACGUUCUGGGCCGCACGCGCGCUACACUGACCAGUGCAACAAGCAUCCGUCCUUGGCCGAUAGGUCUGGGUAAUCUUUGAACGCUGUUCGUGAUUGGGAUAGACCUUUGCAAUUAUGGGUCUUCAACGAGGAAUUCCUAGUAAACGCAAGUCAUCAGCUUGCAUUGAUUACGUCCCUGCCCUUUGUACACACCGCCCGUCGCACCUACCGAUUGAAUGGUCCGGUGAAAUCUCGGGACGGCGGCUUGGUCGCUUGCGUCCGACUGCUGAAACUUGAUUAAACCAUAUCAUUUAGAGGAAGGUGAAGUCGUAACA
RNAcentral lists this ribosomal RNA (321 nucleotides) under uncultured eukaryote. Its description in RNAcentral is "partial 18S ribosomal RNA". It matches the Rfam family "Eukaryotic small subunit ribosomal RNA", at positions 1470 to 1796 of the family's 1831-position model. The record is from RNAcentral.